UUGUAGGACAUGUGAAUGCCAGUGCUCAUGGAGAAAGGUGGAGGAAGAGAGCCAGAGCGCAGUUCACCUCUGGGAGAGCAGACCAGAGUGGCUUCCGUGGGCACAUGCUGGAUUGAAGUGAGAAGACGUGACUACUAAAGUUGAGGCCCCAAGUCUCAGCUUCUUUCCCCUCCAAAGCAUGAGUGGAGGAUUCACUUAAGGCCACUUUGGCUGCCACCAGUGCACCAUUGGCAGAACCAUUGGCAGAGUCCAGCUGGCAAGAGGGCCUCGUCAUCCCUGCAAGACAUAGCAGAGCAAGGGAAAGGUGCACCAUGAAUCCAAUAUGAUGGUAUCCUCAUAAGGAGAGGAGAAGAGACACAAAAACAGACACACCCUGGCAGAUCACUGUGUGACUACGGAAACAGAGACUGAAGCAAUGUGUUUACAAGCCAAGGAACACCAUGAAUUGCUGGCAAUAACCCAAAACUACAAAGAGGCAAGGAAAGAAUCUUCCCUAGCACCUUCAGAGAGAACAUGACCCUGCUGACAUCUUGAUUUUGGAUCUCUAGCUCCCA
Molecule: long non-coding RNA, 554 nt
Organism: Pan troglodytes (chimpanzee)
Lineage: Eukaryota; Metazoa; Chordata; Mammalia; Primates; Hominidae
Exons: 4
Source: RefSeq, a predicted model, not a curated record